RNAcentral lists this ribosomal RNA (397 nucleotides) under uncultured bacterium. RNAcentral's name for it is "partial 16S ribosomal RNA". It matches the Rfam family "Bacterial small subunit ribosomal RNA", at positions 523 to 918 of the family's 1533-position model. The record is from RNAcentral.
AUACGUAGGGGGCGAGCGUUGUCCGGAAUGAUUGGGCGUAAAGGGCGCGUAGGCGACCCGGUAAGUCUGGAGUGAAAGUCCUGUUUUUAAGAUGGGAAUUGCUUUGGAUACGGUCGGGCUUGAGUGCAGGAGAGGUAAGUGGAAUUCCCAGUGUAGCGGUGAAAUGCGUAGAGAUUGGGAGGAACACCAGUGGCGAAGGCGACUUACUGGACUGUAACUGACGCUGAGGCGCGAAAGUGUGGGGAGCAAACAGGAUUAGAUACCCUGGUAGUCCACACUGUAAACGAUGAAUGCUAGGUGUAGGGGGUAUCGAUCCCUUCUGUGCCGCACUCAACACAACAAGCAUGCCGCCUGGGGAGUACGGCCGCAAGGUUGAAACUCAAAGGAAUUGACGGGG